UGUCAAUGAUGAUUUGGCAUGUAUUCUGAUUCUAAAGUUGAUGUUUAUCACCAGUUAGCUCUAGAAUUACUCUGAGGCAUG
This is a small nucleolar RNA of Tachyglossus aculeatus (Australian echidna), 81 nucleotides long. RefSeq annotates it as small nucleolar RNA SNORD45. The record is from RefSeq and is a predicted model, not a curated record. NCBI's taxonomy places the organism in Eukaryota, Metazoa, Chordata, Mammalia, Monotremata, Tachyglossidae. The transcript has a single exon.